Molecule: long non-coding RNA, 564 nt
Filed under: Homo sapiens (human)
Lineage: Eukaryota; Metazoa; Chordata; Mammalia; Primates; Hominidae
Description: HSALNT0116197
Source: RNAcentral
CAUCAUUGAUGGACUUGGAAAUGCAGACAGAACUGAAGAGGAGCGUCUCGGCACUGCUGCUACGGCUACUGCACAUCUGAUGAAGAGGAUUUUUUUUAACUGAGUAAGGUCAUCUUUUCCUGAUGAAGCCCCAAAGUGCAAAAGGCAUGAAAGGCACAUUAUGCUUCUCCACCAGAGGAGGGUCUCCGCAGGCAGGGCAGCCGCUGAACAGCACCGGGAGGGUCUGUAGUUGCCAGACUCUAUUAUUGUGGGCUAUAAAUUAAGAGGCUUCCGUUUCAAAUACAAACUCUCUCAUCAGUCACAGGAAAUUAAAUGCCUUUUGAAAGGGAGCUAGGCAUAGGAGGAAUUCACUUUCUUCCACCUACACACUGUUGGCAGCUCCUCAGAGGGAAGGACGGAGCCUGCCAUUCUGCGGAGCGUCACCUGGUUCUUACCCACGACUUCACCGUGAGUGUGGAGUCCACAGGACUCCAGAGCUCUGUGGCCUGACUGCAGGGCAGUCUGCUCCCAAAGAGACUUGGGGAGAACAUGGCUAACUCAACAGAAUACAGAAUAACACCGGAG